RNAcentral lists this long non-coding RNA (204 nucleotides) under Elaeis guineensis (African oil palm). Its description in RNAcentral is "long non-coding RNA (EGUI_LNC082407)". The record is from RNAcentral. Lineage: Eukaryota; Viridiplantae; Streptophyta; Magnoliopsida; Arecales; Arecaceae.
UUCAUAGUAGGCCAGUAGUAGCCCUGUCGCAGGACUUUGUAAGCCAAGGACUUGCCCCCCAAGUGAUCGUCACAGAUUCCUUCAUGUACUUCUCUGAGGGCAUAGUCUGCAUCGGUCAGCCCUAGGCACUUCAGCAAGGGAAGGGAGAAUGAUCUUUUGUAUAGUCGACCGUCGACCAUCACAUAUUGGGAAGCCACCCACCGG